GAUGAAGAACGUAGUGAAAUGCGAUACGUAGUGUGAAUUGCAGAAUUCAGUGAAUCAUCGAAUCUUUGAACGCACAUUGCACCUCUCGGUAUUCUGGGAGGUAUGCCUGUUCGAGCGUCAUUUGUACCCUCAAGCUCUGCUUGGUGUUGGGUGUUUGUUCCGCCUCUGUGUGUGAACUCGCCUCAAAACAAUUGGCAGCCGGCGUACUUGUUUCGGAGCGCAGCACAUUUUGCGAUCCAGAUCAACGUACAGCGGCAUCCAAGAAGCCUUAUUUAACGCUCUUGACCUCGGAUCAGGUAGGGAUACCCGCUGAACUUAAGCAUAUCAAUAAGCGGAGGA
Molecule: unclassified non-coding RNA, 339 nt
Filed under: soil metagenome
Description: partial contains 5.8S ribosomal RNA, internal transcribed spacer 2, and large subunit ribosomal RNA
Rfam family: 5.8S ribosomal RNA (bases 1-120)
Source: RNAcentral